CACAGCUGUGAUGUAACCACCCUGUAAAUACUGGCUGCACCCUGAAAUAUCUGCCUGGCCAUUGCAACUGCGCCGUGGGGAAAGCUCUGUCCCUCCAUGAGUCAGUUUACUAAAGGAGGUAACCCCGUGCACGUGUACUUUCCCCCUACCGACUUGAAGAUUGUCCCCUCGCUGGACGAGACGAGACUUCGCCGUGUUCGCCCGAACACAAUCACCUGAUCCGUUAGAGACCGCUGCUGCCACAACACAGUGCUCUCACUGCCUGCAGAAGGAAGAAAAAGAUUUCUUAACGAAGACGGGGGUAGCCUCCCUGACCCGCUCUCAUGUUUCCCGCGGAUCCUUAAAAAGUCUUAAAAGGCAUUGAAUUCAUUAAUCUAAAAUCAAGGCUUUAAUUGGCAUUAAAAUGUCUUAAAUCAAUCUUUCAAAAGUCUUAAAAAUGUUUACACUUGGUAAGUAGGAUUUUGUAAUUGUAAUUAGAUUCAAAUCUCAAAAUAAUUGAUACAUUUUUUUUUUUUUUUAAAAUAAUUUACCGAAUGCCUCUCGCGGUAACCUCCCGCAAUCACUAUAACGGAACCAAAAAAAUCAGUGAUGUGGGUGCGGCCGGGACUCUCAGAGCAGAUGCACUUUAUUCGUGUAGCUGUCACUCUACCUUGGACAACAUGGGGAAGUGUAAGUUCAAUGCAAAUUGGUUGUCAAAUCAACAUUUUUCGGCAUGGCUGAAAUCGGUACCGGGAAAUUUGUACGAGGCACGACGCAUUUUGUGCAAGAAGUGUUUUAAACUCGGCACGAUGGGAAUUAAGGCAGUGGAGUCGCACAUGCAGAGCGCGAAACACAAAGCUUCAACAUCAAGCUGCCAACAAACGCCAGUUGUAGGAACCCUGCGCUCUUCUUCAAGUUUCCUCCUCCACGCUGCUGAGGAUCAGCUUGCUGUGAAACCAGCCGACAGAGAGCAUCAGCGUCCGAGCAGAGGAACCGAGCCGGACCGAAAGACACACCCUGCUCGCUUUCUGAAGCGACCAUGAAAGAGGCUUAAGUCUGAGCAGAGACAGUGUUAGAUUGUAUGUUAUUUUCAGCUUCAGUGCUUUUGUUAGCCUUUAGCCUUUUAAGCUUCAUCGCUCAUGUUUGUUGUUGUGAAUUGACAGACCACCGAUUCCCUUUGUGCUGCUUUGCGCUGAGGAGUAUUUGAAGUUUGCUGCCUAUUUAGUUGUGUUUACCACGUUAGACUGUUUUGUGUUUGCCCCACUCAGGACUGCUGUGUUUGUGCCACGGUGAGUGAGAAAGUAACCCACGGUCACUUUUCUUCCUCUUUCUUCCCUCUUGUGUUACUAACCCACACACAUGCGCACGUACAUAUACACGCACACCUCUGAUAAUAAUGAAUUAUUGCUAAUAACCAACCGUGGUCCUCAUAGAUCUAACAGUUUGUGUCCCGUUGCGAGGCUCUCUAACUCUUGGUCCCCUGUAUUAUUAAUUAAUAUUAAUAAUUUCUUGAUUUUGUAAUUCAUACUUAUCUCUGAAAAUUAUUAAUUAUUACUAAUAACCAAACGCAAUCCUACCAAACCCAACAGAUGCGAUCAUAUAAACAGCUUCACCACAUUUUUUACUGGGCUUUUUGUUUCUACCAUCAUUGUACAACUCAAUGAAACCCACUCUGUCAUCGUCUGGUAGCAGAUUUGUGGUGCUGUGUGUGUUCACAUCACAACACUCUGCACCUUCCAGACAGCAAUAUGAUUUUCUGAAACAGUGCCUUUCUAUUCCAUUUGGUGGGCCAAUGUUAUCAUGCUUCACUGUGGUUGGUUAAGCUGUUUCAUAGCUGGGAUGUAAUCCAGAAAGGGAGGUAAUUUACUCUAACUGAAACUAACCUAGCAAACAAUGGGCCUCAUGUGAGAAUCACUUGUAUGAGCAGAUUUGUAAUUAAGAUGCAAAUGAUUUAAGAACAUUUGGGGCAUUCAUCAAUUUUCUCAUGCUUAGAAUCUUCUCUCAGGUAUGAAUGAAAUUUACAGGUAGUUCAGACCUGUCGUAUGUGUUAAGAAUACAUCAUCUCUGCCUAUAUUCACAGGGGAGAAUCACUUGUUUGACUUACAAUUAUAAUGCCCUGAUUUGAAUUAAUGUGGAGUUAAAAAUAUACUAUUAUCAAAAAUUAAAUAUAUAACUAAAACAAACUUAAUACAAAAUUAAUAUUCUGUUUACCAUA
Thunnus maccoyii (southern bluefin tuna) is the source of this 2194-nucleotide long non-coding RNA. RefSeq lists it as uncharacterized. Lineage: Eukaryota; Metazoa; Chordata; Actinopteri; Scombriformes; Scombridae. The transcript is spliced from 3 exons. The record is from RefSeq and is a predicted model, not a curated record.